UCACUGGUCACUGAGCUGGCAAGCUAAUGUUAGGUAGUUAGUCAUAGAAAUGUACGUUCAGCCUGUGAAUUAUUUCAGUCCGAUUUGACUUAUAUUAAGAAGUCAGCAUGGUUUAACAGUUUCUUUCGUUUUUGACCUCGACAUUGUUGCUGGAUAGAUACUUUCAUAUCUAACAUGCUGGUGAUGCCUCACUCUAGUUCCCGAUAGAGUAGCAUACUGGUAACCAUGAUUGACAUAGGAAGAACAAUGAUUCCAAGCACCACCCUCCUUUUGAAGCUUCCAGUCUGUUAUUCGACCUCAAUCAGCAUGACAGAGUGAUCUCCAGCUUUGUCCUCGUCAAUACUCACACCUGUGUUUACGAGAGAAUCACUGACAUGAUGUCAGCUGGUCCUUUUGUGGCAGGGCUGAAAUGCAGUGGAAAUGUUUUGGGGGGGAUUCAGUUCAUUUGCAUGGCAAAAAGGGACUUUGCAAUUCAUUGCAAUUCAUCUGAUCACUCUUCAUAACAUUCUGGAGUUUAUGCAAAUUGCCAUCAUACAAACUGAGGCAGCAGACUUGAAAACGUGAAAAUUCAUAUUUGUGUCAUUCUCUGAACUUUUGCCCACAACUGUACAGUCAAUAAUAAUAGAACAAUCUAUAUACAGUGUGUUGAAAUGGAGUAAGGAGGUAAGGCAAUAAAUAGGCCAUAGUAGCAAAGUAAUUACAAUUUAGCAAAUUGUGUGGUUUUGUGGCAGAUUUUCAAAAGAAAGACAUAUGGCAUAUCACCAGUAAUUCUCAAUCAGAUGAGAUACACAGCUAACCCAUAUUGAAUUUCAUUCAUAAAUGUGGACGCUAAUUAUUGUUAAUAUUCCAAUUCUCUAGGCCCUCCAUUCCCAAACUUGAAGCCCCCUAUCGCCAACUGGAAAGACCAGGAAAAAGUGGUGGCUUAAGAUCUGCCAACCUGCUCGGUGGGUGACAGGUAACCGUCUUUCCACCAAGCUGUUCCAGGCCUGGAGUGGCACGUUGGAACUUCCAGAGGCUUGUAGACCUGAAGCGGUGUGAUGUGGUCCAGAUCUGACACCCCUAUUAGCUCAACCACAAUCUUCACAGCUGCAGUCGUCUGCAUCUGAUACACCGGCCACGACAGGUGACACAGAUCUGCCAUGCCCAGCAGUCCACUGCUGUAGUAUUUAAAUUUACCGGCUGCACCAGUUUCUACUCCACUGGCUGUGAAGGGAGAAACUUUUGAGGAUUCCCAGAUGGAUACAGAUCUGCCAUGCACUCCACCACUGCCUGACAACCUCACCCAGAAGUGCAUACACUGGGCCUUUCAAGACUGACAAAGCAGAGAUGGGUGGCUGACAAGGAAAAAUAAAACAACACGCGCACACACACACUUUAUCCACAAUGUAAAUACGUUGUAAUUGCUUGCUUAUUUAAUGUUUGCUCCAUUUUAUUUUAGGAUUGGAGAUAUCUACUCCUAUAUAUCCAUUAUCAAUGUCUGCAUAAUUACUCUAAAUAUUAUAAAAUACUAUGUGUACAGUUUUAGGAAAUUCUGUGUACAUUUUUCUGAGUUGAAAAACAUGCCUCCCUCUCACACAGACACACACUACACCCAAUGUAAAUAAAUUGCAAUAACUUGUUUAAUGUAUGUAUGCUCCACUUUAUUUUAGGAAAAUAUCUGUAAUAAAGUACAUUCACA
This is a long non-coding RNA of Oncorhynchus nerka (sockeye salmon), 1678 nucleotides long. RefSeq lists it as uncharacterized. The transcript is spliced from 6 exons. NCBI's taxonomy places the organism in Eukaryota, Metazoa, Chordata, Actinopteri, Salmoniformes, Salmonidae. The record is from RefSeq and is a predicted model, not a curated record.